ACCGUUAUCUUCUAACUGGAAUAGGAAGCCAGAAUUUCAAUCUGGGCAAUAUGGGUUCGAGUCCCAUUGACGGUA
RNAcentral lists this transfer RNA (75 nucleotides) under Ignavibacteria bacterium. RNAcentral describes it as "tRNA-Glu". It matches the Rfam family "tRNA". Rfam says of the family: Transfer RNA (tRNA) molecules are approximately 80 nucleotides in length. Lineage: Bacteria; Pseudomonadati; Ignavibacteriota; Ignavibacteria. RNAcentral also lists the same sequence under 1 other name. The record is from RNAcentral.